Molecule: ribosomal RNA, 514 nt
Filed under: uncultured bacterium
Lineage: Bacteria
Description: bacterial SSU rRNA
Rfam family: Bacterial small subunit ribosomal RNA
Source: RNAcentral
AUCUUGGUUCAGGAUGAACGCUAGCUACAGGCUUAACACAUGCAAGUCGAGGGGCAGCAUUAUCGAAGCUUGCUUUGAUAGAUGGCGACCGGCGCACGGGUGAGUAACGCGUAUCCAACCUUCCCUAUAGUAGAGAAUAGCCCGGCGAAAGUCGGAUUAAUGCUCUAUGUUGUAUUUAGAGGGCAUCUGAAGAAUACCAAAGGUUUACCGCUAUAGGAUGGGGAUGCGUCUGAUUAGGUAGUAGGCGGGGUAACGGCCCACCUAGCCGACGAUCAGUAGGGGUUCUGAGAGGAAGGUCCCCCACAUUGGAACUGAGACACGGUCCAAACUCCUACGGGAGGCAGCAGUGAGGAAUAUUGGUCAAUGGACGGAAGUCUGAACCAGCCAAGUAGCCGUGCAGGAUGACGGCCCUAUGGGUUGUAAACUGCUUUUAUAUAGGGAUAAAGUCGGGGACGUGUCCCCGUUUGUAGGUACUAUAUGAAUAAGGACCGGCUAAUUCCGUGCCAGCAGCCGC